GACAGAGGGUGCAAACGUUGUUCGGAAUUACUGGGCGUAAAGCGUGUGUAGGUGGCCACGUAAGUCGGAUGUGAAAGCCCUGGGCUCAACCCAGGAAGUGCACUCGAUACUGCGUGGCUUGAGUACCGGAGAGGUUGGUAGAAUUCUCGGUGUAGAGGUGAAAUUCGUAGAUAUCGAGAGGAAUACCUGUGGCGAAGGCGGCCAACUGGACGAGUACUGACACUGAGACACGAAAGCGUGGGGAGCAAACAGG
RNAcentral lists this ribosomal RNA (253 nucleotides) under uncultured bacterium. RNAcentral describes it as "partial 16S ribosomal RNA". It matches the Rfam family "Bacterial small subunit ribosomal RNA", at positions 524 to 776 of the family's 1533-position model. The record is from RNAcentral.